RNAcentral lists this ribosomal RNA (326 nucleotides) under uncultured eukaryote. Its description in RNAcentral is "partial 18S ribosomal RNA". It matches the Rfam family "Eukaryotic small subunit ribosomal RNA", at positions 1470 to 1796 of the family's 1831-position model. The record is from RNAcentral.
CCCUUAGAUGUUCUGGGCCGCACGCGCGCUACACUGAUGCAUUCAACGAGCCUAGCCUUGACCGAGAGGUCCGGGCAAUCUUUGAAACUGCAUCGUGAUGGGGCUAGAUUAUUGCAAUUAUUAAUCUUCAACGAGGAAUGCCUAGUAAGCGUGAUUCAUCAAAUCGCGUUGAUUACGUCCCUGCCCUUUGUACACACCGCCCGUCGCUCCUACCGAUUGAGUGUGUUGGUGAGGAGUUUGGAUUGGCCUCGGAAGGUGGUUCGCCACCGUCCGUAGCUGAGAAGUUCUCCAAACCGCCCCACUUAGAGGAAGGAGAAGUCGUAACA